This 466-nucleotide ribosomal RNA is filed under the name uncultured bacterium. RNAcentral's name for it is "partial 16S ribosomal RNA". It matches the Rfam family "Bacterial small subunit ribosomal RNA", at positions 28 to 507 of the family's 1533-position model. The record is from RNAcentral.
GACGAACGCUGGCGGUGUGCUUAACACAUGCAAGUCGAACGGUAAGGCCCUUUCGGGGGUACACGAGUGGCGCACGGGUGAGUAACACGUGAGUAACCUGCCCUCAUCUCUGGGAUAACAGUCGGAAACGGUUGCUAAUACUGGAUAUGAGCUUGCAAGGCAUCUUGUGGGUUGGAAAGAUUUUUUUGGUUGGGGAUGGACUCGCGGCCUAUCAGCUUGUUGGUGAGGUAGUGGCUCACCAAGGCUUCGACGGGUAGCCGGCCUGAGAGGGCGACCGGCCACAGUGGGACGGAGAUACGGCCCAAACUCCUACGGGAGGCAGCAGUGGGGAAGAUUGCACAAUGGACGGAAGUCUGAUGCAGCAACGCCGCGUGCGGGAUGACGGCCUUCGGGUUGUAAACCGCUUUCAAUUGUGACGAAGCUUUUUGUGACGGUAGCAGUAGAAGAAGCACCGGCUAACUACGUG